AUGAACGCUGGCGGCGUGCUUAACACGUGCAAGUCGAACGGAGUUUGUAAGUGGAAGCCUUCGGGUGGAAGCUUACUUACUUAGUGGCGGACGGGUGAGUAACGCGUGGAUAACCUGCCUUACACAGGGGGAUAACAGUCGGAAACGACUGCUAAUACCGCAUAAGCGCACAGUGUUGCAUGACACAGUGCGAAAAGAUUUAUCGGUGUAAGAUGGAUCCGCGUCUGAUUAGCUAGUUGGUGGGGUAACGGCCUACCAAGGCGACGAUCAGUAGCCGGCUUGAGAGAGUGAACGGCCACAUUGGGACUGAGACACGGCCCAAACUCCUACGGGAGGCAGCAGUGGGGAAUAUUGCACAAUGGGGGAAACCCUGAUGCAGCGACGCCGCGUGAGUGAAGAAGUAUUUCGGUAUGUAAAGCUCUAUCAGCAGGGACGAUAAUGACGGUACCUGACUAAGAAGCCCCGGCUAACUACGU
RNAcentral lists this ribosomal RNA (476 nucleotides) under uncultured bacterium. RNAcentral describes it as "bacterial SSU rRNA". It matches the Rfam family "Bacterial small subunit ribosomal RNA", at positions 29 to 506 of the family's 1533-position model. The record is from RNAcentral.